CCUACGGGAGGCAGCAGUGGGGAAUUUUGGACAAUGGGCGCAAGCCUGAUCCAGCAAUGCCGCGUGAGUGAAGAAGGCCUUCGGGUUGUAAAGCUCUUUUGUCAGGGAAGAAACGGUUCCGGCUAAUAUCCGGGGCUAAUGACGGUACCUGAAGAAUAAGCACCGGCUAACUACGUGCCAGCAGCCGCGGUAAUACGUAGGGUGCAAGCGUUAAUCGGAAUUACUGGGCGUAAAGCGUGCGCAGGCGGUUUUGUAAGUCUGUCGUGAAAGCCCCGGGCUCAACCUGGGAAUUGCGAUGGAGACUGCAAGGCUUGAAUCUGGCAGAGGGGGGUAGAAUUCCACGUGUAGCAGUGAAAUGCGUAGAGAUGUGGAGGAACACCGAUGGCGAAGGCAGCCCCCUGGGUCAAGAUUGACGCUCAUGCACGAAAGCGUGGGGAGCAAACAGGAUUAGAUACCCGUGUAGUC
Molecule: ribosomal RNA, 465 nt
Filed under: uncultured Massilia sp.
Lineage: Bacteria; Pseudomonadati; Pseudomonadota; Betaproteobacteria; Burkholderiales; Oxalobacteraceae
Description: bacterial SSU rRNA
Rfam family: Bacterial small subunit ribosomal RNA
Source: RNAcentral